RNAcentral lists this ribosomal RNA (254 nucleotides) under uncultured bacterium. RNAcentral's name for it is "partial 16S ribosomal RNA". It matches the Rfam family "Bacterial small subunit ribosomal RNA", at positions 524 to 776 of the family's 1533-position model. The record is from RNAcentral.
UACGUAGGGGGCAAGCGUUGUCCGGAUUUAUUGGGCGUAAAGAGCUCGUAGGUGGUUCGGUAAGUCGGAUGUGAAAUCUCCAGGCUCAACCUGGAGGGGUCAUUCGAUACUGCCGUGACUAGAGUUCGGUAGGGGAGUGUGGAAUUCCUGGUGUAGCGGUGAAAUGCGCAGAUAUCAGGGAGAACACCAAUGGCGAAGGCAGCUCUCUGGGACGGUACUGACGCUGAGACGCGAAAGCGUGGGGAGCGAACAGG